RNAcentral lists this long non-coding RNA (453 nucleotides) under Pogona vitticeps (central bearded dragon). RNAcentral describes it as "lncRNA (ENSPVIG00000023126.1)". The record is from RNAcentral. Lineage: Eukaryota; Metazoa; Chordata; Lepidosauria; Squamata; Agamidae.
UUCCCUCUUCAGGGCAAGGCAACCUUUCCUCCCAGCCAGUCCUCCUCAUUGGGUCCCCCCCCUCCACCGUGGGAUGGCGUGGGAGACGCUGGUGUUUAUGGACGCCCAGAGACUGUCGUGGUUUGAUCUGCUCCUGGGGAGACCCUGGAGGGAACCCCCUCUGCUCAUGCUGGGGCAGAAGCUGUUAGUGCGGCGCUCGUGACCAUCAAUUUAGGCAUCACGUGGUGGAUCGCCUAGCUGGUCUAUAUGGGGCUGGGCGGGAGGGCGUCCCUGGUGGCCCUGGUGGUGGCAAUUUGGGCCAUCAUCGUGAUCUGUGGCUGGUUGCCCCAGGAUACCCCGCCUGCCCCGUACCCCUUGCGGCCCCAUGACCCCCACCAGCUCAGCCGGCUACGGCACGUCACCCUUCCGCCUCUACAGACCAUAGCCUCGAGCGUCUCCUGGAGGGACCCCCGC